RNAcentral lists this ribosomal RNA (253 nucleotides) under uncultured bacterium. Its description in RNAcentral is "partial 16S ribosomal RNA". It matches the Rfam family "Bacterial small subunit ribosomal RNA", at positions 524 to 776 of the family's 1533-position model. The record is from RNAcentral.
UACAGAGGUGCCGAGCGUUAGGCGGAAUCACUGGGCUUAAAGCGUGUGUAGGUGGAUGUCUAAGUACCUUGUGAAAUCCCACGGCUUAACCGUGGAACUGCUCGGUAUACUAGAUGUCUUGAGCCAGCUAGGGGCUACCGGAACAAAUGGUGGAGCGGUGAAAUGCGUAGAUAUCAUUUGGAACGCCAAUGGUGAAAACAGGUAGCUGGGGCUGUGCUGACACUGAGACACGAAAGCCAGGGGAGCGAACGGG